This 218-nucleotide ribosomal RNA is filed under the name uncultured bacterium. RNAcentral describes it as "partial 16S ribosomal RNA". It matches the Rfam family "Bacterial small subunit ribosomal RNA", at positions 113 to 334 of the family's 1533-position model. The record is from RNAcentral.
UAGCUUGGGAAUCUGGCUUAUGGAGGGGGAUAACUACGGGAAACUGUAGCUAAUACCGCGUAGUAUCGAGAGAUUAAAGUGUGGGACCUUCGGGCCACAUGCCAUAGGAUGAGCCCAAGUGGGAUUAGGUAGUUGGUGAGGUAAAGGCUCACCAAGCCGACGAUCUCUAGCUGGUCUGAGAGGAUGACCAGCCACACUGGGACUGAGACACAGCCCAG